AGCUCCAUUGCCAAUCCUCCUUCUUUCGAAUGACCCUGAGCAGGCACGGAGGGCACUAAAACCCAGGCCAGGUCUCAGCCCAGCGCGCCGGCGGCAGAGGAGGCGGCGGCGGGCCCGGGGGCCGCGCUGAGCGCCCGGGCCGCGGCUGCGGACGGGCUCAGGUAACCGCGGUGGCACCUUCAGCCAGCUCUGCUGCCAGAGACACGGCUGGUGCUGGGGGUAAGGUCUGGCUGCCGCUUCUAACAGGGGGUUCUCGUCUCCAGGAUGUUCAGCUGGUUUGUCCAGGGGCUGGAGAAGGUGAUGCCACAGCCGGUGACCAGGGAGAAGCAGGACACUCAGGGAGUGGCCACAGCAACCCCGAGUCCUGUGGAACAAAGGGGCAAAGGGGCUUAGCGCCUCUGAAACAAAUGGAAAAUGAAGACCGUGGCCAACCAGCCCUUCCCA
Molecule: long non-coding RNA, 444 nt
Filed under: Lonchura striata (white-rumped munia)
Lineage: Eukaryota; Metazoa; Chordata; Aves; Passeriformes; Estrildidae
Description: domestica (Bengalese finch) lncRNA (ENSLSDG00000015911.1)
Source: RNAcentral